Acanthosepion pharaonis is the source of this 111-nucleotide non-coding RNA. The record is from the annotation of a GenBank genome assembly. Lineage: Eukaryota; Metazoa; Mollusca; Cephalopoda; Sepiida; Sepiidae.
UACGGCCACAUUGCAUUGAAAAACCGAUUCCCAUACGAUCGCCGAAGUUAAGCAGCGUCGAGCCUGGUCAGUACCUAGAUCAGUGACGGCUUAGGAAUUCCAGGUGGUGAA